RNAcentral lists this transfer RNA (120 nucleotides) under Merismopedia sp. SIO2A8. RNAcentral describes it as "tRNA-Gly". Lineage: Bacteria; Bacillati; Cyanobacteriota; Cyanophyceae; Synechococcales; Merismopediaceae. The record is from RNAcentral.
GCGAAUGUGAUGUAACGGCAGCAUGUGAGGCUUCCAACCUCUUCGUGCAGGUAACUCCUAUCGGAGACGCUAAACGUUUCUUUAAUGCCGAAGGCUAUACAAAUCCUGUCAUUCGCUCCA